RNAcentral lists this ribosomal RNA (513 nucleotides) under uncultured bacterium. RNAcentral describes it as "bacterial SSU rRNA". It matches the Rfam family "Bacterial small subunit ribosomal RNA", at positions 28 to 536 of the family's 1533-position model. The record is from RNAcentral.
GAUGAACGCUAGCGGGAGGCUUAACACAUGCAAGUCGAGGGGCAGCAUAGGGUAGCAAUACUCUGAUGGCGACCGGCAAACGGGUGAGUAACGCGUAUGCAACCUACCCUGUACAGGGGGAUAACCCGGAGAAAUUCGGACUAAUAUCCCGUAAUAAUAUCCGGAGGCAUCUUUGGAUAUUUAAAGUUCCGACGGUACGGGAUGGGCAUGCGUAACAUUAGCUGGUUGGUAAGGUAACGGCUUACCAAGGCUAUGAUGUUUAGGGGUCCUGAGAGGGUGGUCCCCCACACUGGUACUGAGACACGGACCAGACUCCUACGGGAGGCAGCAGUGAGGAAUAUUGGUCAAUGGGCGCAAGCCUGAACCAGCCAUCCCGCGUGCAGGAAGACGGCCCUAUGGGUUGUAAACUGCUUUUCCAGGGAGAGAAACUUACGCACGUGUUGCGUGACUGACGGUACCCUGGGAAUAAGCAUCGGCUAACUCCGUGCCAGCAGCCGCGGUAACUAGUCUACG